This 253-nucleotide ribosomal RNA is filed under the name uncultured bacterium. RNAcentral describes it as "partial 16S ribosomal RNA". It matches the Rfam family "Bacterial small subunit ribosomal RNA", at positions 524 to 776 of the family's 1533-position model. The record is from RNAcentral.
UACAGAGGGUGCAAGCGUCAAUCGGAAUUACUGGGCGUAAAGCGUGCGUAGACGGUUAUGUAAGUCGGGUGUGAAAGCCCCGGGCUCAACCUGGGAAUUGCAUUCGAGACUGUGUAGCUAGGGUACGGAAGAGGGAAGCGGAAUUUCAGGUGUAGCGGUGAAAUGCGUAGAUAUCCGGAAGAACACCGAUGGCGAAGGCAACCACCUGGGCCUGUACUGACGCUGAGGUACGAAAGCGUGGGGAGCAAACAGG